GAAGGGGGCUAGCGUUGUUCGGAAUUACUGGGCGUAAAGCGCGCGCAGGUGGUCUUUCAAGUCAGUGGUGAAAGCCCGGAGCUCAACUCCGGAAAUGCCAUUGAAACUGUGAGACUUGAGGACGAGAGAGGUGAGUGGAAUUCCCAGUGUAGAGGUGAAAUUCGUAGAUAUUGGGAAGAACACCGGUGGCGAAGGCGGCUCACUGGCUCGUAUCUGACGCUCAGGCGCGACAGCGUGGGGAUCAAACAGGAUUAGAUACCCUGGUAGUCCACGCCGUAAACGAUGAAUGCUAGCCGUUGGGCAGCUUGCUGUUCAGUGGCGCAGCUAACGCAUUAAGCAUUCCGCCUGGGAGUACGGCC
This 359-nucleotide ribosomal RNA is filed under the name uncultured bacterium. RNAcentral's name for it is "bacterial SSU rRNA". It matches the Rfam family "Bacterial small subunit ribosomal RNA", at positions 527 to 887 of the family's 1533-position model. The record is from RNAcentral.